AACGAACGUUAACGGCGCGCCUAACACAUGCAAGUCGAGCGAGAAAGGGCUUCGGCCCCGGUAAAGCGGCGCACGGGUGAGUAACACGUAGGUAAUUUGCCCUCGGGUGGUGGAUAACUUUCCGAAAGGAAGGCUAAUACAGCAUGAGACCACGAUUUCGAAAGGGAUUGGGGUCAAAGCCGGCCAAUUCAUGAAAGCUGGUGCCUGAGGAUGAGCCUGCGGCCCAUCAGCUAGUUGGUAGGGUAAUGGCCUACCAAGGCGAAGACGGGUAGCUGGUCUGAGAGGAUGAUCAGCCACACUGGAACUGAGACACGGUCCAGACUCCUACGGGAGGCAGCAGUGGGGAAUCUUGCGCAAUGGGCGAAAGCCUGACGCAGCGACGCCGCGUGAGUGAUGAAGGCCUCGGUUGGUAAGUACGUCUGUGGUAGGGGGACGGGAAGU
This 441-nucleotide ribosomal RNA is filed under the name uncultured bacterium. Its description in RNAcentral is "bacterial SSU rRNA". It matches the Rfam family "Bacterial small subunit ribosomal RNA", at positions 29 to 457 of the family's 1533-position model. The record is from RNAcentral.